AUUGAACGCUGGCGGCAGGCCUAACACAUGCAAGUCGAACGGUAGCACAGAGAGCUUGCUCUCGGGUGACGAGUGGCGGACGGGUGAGUAACGCCUGGGAAACUGCCCGAUGGAGGGGGAUAACUACUGGAAACGGUAGCUAAUACCGCAUAACGUCGCAAGACCAAAGUGGGGGACCUUCGGGCCUCACACCAUCGGAUGUGCCCAGAUGGGAUUAGCUAGUAGGUGGGGUAAUGGCUCACCUAGGCGACGAUCCCUAGCUGGUCUGAGAGGAUGACCAGCCACACUGGAACUGAGACACGGUCCAGACUCCUACGGGAGUCAGCAGUGGGGAAUAUUGCACAAUGGGCGCAAGCCUGAUGCAGCCAUGCCGCGUGUAUGAAGAAGGCCUUCGGGUUGUAAAGUACUUUCAGCGGGGAGGAAGGCGGUGAAGUUAAUAACUUCACCGAUUGACGUUACCCGCAGAAGAAGCACCGGCUAACUCCGUGCCAGCAGCCGCAGUAA
Molecule: ribosomal RNA, 504 nt
Filed under: uncultured bacterium
Lineage: Bacteria
Description: partial 16S ribosomal RNA
Rfam family: Bacterial small subunit ribosomal RNA
Source: RNAcentral